GUGAACUAUGUCGCGACGAGAUAGGACCCGCGCAAUUCCCGAACGGGUAGAAGAACCGGAUCUAAAAAUGCGCGGGUCGGGUUCUUCCACCCGUUCUGGAAUUGCGCGGGUUCCUGUCCCCACAAGCAACGAAAA
This 135-nucleotide microRNA precursor is filed under the name Physcomitrium patens. RNAcentral describes it as "Physcomitrella patens miR1071 stem-loop (ppt-MIR1071)". Lineage: Eukaryota; Viridiplantae; Streptophyta; Bryopsida; Funariales; Funariaceae. The record is from miRBase by way of RNAcentral.